RNAcentral lists this ribosomal RNA (210 nucleotides) under Escherichia coli O145:NM str. 2010C-3517. RNAcentral describes it as "partial 23S ribosomal RNA". It matches the Rfam family "Bacterial large subunit ribosomal RNA", at positions 2738 to 2925 of the family's 2925-position model. The record is from RNAcentral. Lineage: Bacteria; Pseudomonadati; Pseudomonadota; Gammaproteobacteria; Enterobacterales; Enterobacteriaceae.
CUGCCCGGUAGCUAAAUGCGGAAGAGAUAAGUGCUGAAAGCAUCUAAGCACGAAACUUGCCCCGAGAUGAGUUCUCCCUGACUCCUUGAGAGUCCUGAAGGAACGUUGAAGACGACGACGUUGAUAGGCCGGGGGUGUAAGCGCAGCGAUGCGUUGAGCUAACCGGUACUAAUGAACCGUGAGGCUUAACCUUACAACGCCGAAGCUGUU